AGGGGUAUAGCCAAGCGGUAAGGCAAGGGACUUUGACUCCCUCAUUCGUAGGUCCGAAUCCUGCUACCCCUGCCA
Molecule: transfer RNA, 75 nt
Filed under: Clostridia bacterium
Lineage: Bacteria; Bacillati; Bacillota; Clostridia
Description: tRNA-Gln
Rfam family: tRNA
About the family: Transfer RNA (tRNA) molecules are approximately 80 nucleotides in length.
Source: RNAcentral